Molecule: ribosomal RNA, 243 nt
Filed under: uncultured Staphylococcus sp.
Lineage: Bacteria; Bacillati; Bacillota; Bacilli; Caryophanales; Staphylococcaceae
Description: partial 16S ribosomal RNA
Rfam family: Bacterial small subunit ribosomal RNA
Source: RNAcentral
CGGCGGACGGGUGAGUAACACGUGGAUAACCUACCUAUAAGACUGGGAUAACUUGGGAAACCGGAGCUAAUACCGGAUAAUAUAUUGAACCGCAUGGUUCAAUAGUGAAAGACGGUUUUGCUGUCACUUAUAGAUGGAUCCGCGUCGCAUUAGCUAGUUGGUAAGGUAACGGCUUACCAAGGCAACGAUGCGUAGCCGACCUGAGAGGGUGAUCGGCCACACUGGAACUGAGACACGGUCCAG